This 497-nucleotide ribosomal RNA is filed under the name uncultured bacterium. RNAcentral describes it as "partial 16S ribosomal RNA". It matches the Rfam family "Bacterial small subunit ribosomal RNA", at positions 28 to 507 of the family's 1533-position model. The record is from RNAcentral.
GAUGAACGCUGGCGGCGUGCCUAAUACAUGCAAGUCGAGCGAACGGACGAGAAGCUUGCUUUUCUGAUGUUAGCGGCGGACGGGUGAGUAACACGUGGAUAACCUACCUAUAAGACUGGGAUAACUUCGGGAAACCGGAGCUAAUACCGGAUAAUAUUUUGAACCGCAUGGUUCAAAAUUGAAAGACGGUCUUGCUGUCACUUAUAGAUGGAUCCGCGCUGCAUUAGCUAGUUGGUAAGGUAACGGCUUACCAAGGCAACGAUGCAUAGCCGACCUGAGAGGGUGAUCGGCCACACUGGAACUGAGACACGGUCAAGACUCCUACGGGAGGCAGCAGUAGGGAAUCUUCCGCAAAGGGCGAAAGCCUGACGGAGCAACGCCGCGUGAGUGAUGAAGGUCUUCGGAUCGUAAAACUCUGUUAUUAGGGAAGAACAUAUGUGUAAGUAACUGUGCACAUCUUGACGGUACCUAAUCAGAAAGCCACGGCUAACUACGUG